GAUGAACGCUGGCGGCGUGCCUAAUACAUGCAAGUCGAGCGAACAGACGAGGAGCUUGCUCCUCUGACGUUAGCGGCGGACGGGUGAGUAACACGUGGAUAACCUACCUAUAAGACUGGGAUAACUUCGGGAAACCGGAGCUAAUACCGGAUAAUAUAUUGAACCGCAUGGUUCAAUAGUGAAAGACGGUUUUGCUGUCACUUAUAGAUGGAUCCGCGCCGCAUUAGCUAGUUGGUAAGGUAACGGCUUACCAAGGUAACGAUGCGUAGCCGACCUGAGAGGGUGAUCGGCCACACUGGAACUGAGACACGGUCCAGACUCCUACGGGAGGCAGCAGUAGGGAAUCUUCCGCAAUGGGCGAAAGCUUGACGGAGCAACGCCGCGUGAGUGAUGAAGGUCUUCGGAUCGUAAAACUCUGUUAUUAGGGAAGAACAAAUGUGUAAGUAACUAUGCACGUCUUGACGGUACCUAAUCAGAAAGCCACGGCUAACUACGUG
Molecule: ribosomal RNA, 497 nt
Filed under: uncultured bacterium
Lineage: Bacteria
Description: partial 16S ribosomal RNA
Rfam family: Bacterial small subunit ribosomal RNA
Source: RNAcentral